Small nucleolar RNA from Neoarius graeffei (lesser salmon catfish), 92 nucleotides. RefSeq annotates it as small nucleolar SNORD12/SNORD106. The transcript has a single exon. The record is from RefSeq and is a predicted model, not a curated record. Lineage: Eukaryota; Metazoa; Chordata; Actinopteri; Siluriformes; Ariidae.
GUGUGUGCUUUCAUGAUGACCAGUUUUUUCCCCGGCAGAUCGACCAUGGUGACUGCCUGUGAAUUUAAGCCAAAUGCUUCUGAUGCACUGAA